Molecule: ribosomal RNA, 325 nt
Filed under: uncultured eukaryote
Lineage: Eukaryota
Description: partial 18S ribosomal RNA
Rfam family: Eukaryotic small subunit ribosomal RNA
Source: RNAcentral
CCCUUAGAUGUUCUGGGCCGCACGCGCGCUACAAUGAUGAAUUCAACGAGUUUAUAACCUUGGUUGAAAAGCCUGGGUAAUCUUUUGAACUUUCGUCGUGAUGGGGCUAGACCCUUGCAAUUAUUGGUCUCCAACGAGGAAUUCCUAGUAAACGCGAGUCAUCAGCUCGCAUUGAUUACGUCCCCGCCCUUUGUACACACCGCCCGUCGCACCUACCGAUUGAAUGUUUCGGUGAAGAUUCCGGAUAGGACUUUUUUGAUUUAUUUCAAUUUUGUCUUAAAAGCUAUCUAAACCUCAACAUUUAGAGGAAGGUGAAGUCGUAACA